RNAcentral lists this ribosomal RNA (253 nucleotides) under uncultured bacterium. RNAcentral describes it as "partial 16S ribosomal RNA". It matches the Rfam family "Bacterial small subunit ribosomal RNA", at positions 524 to 776 of the family's 1533-position model. The record is from RNAcentral.
GACGAAGGAUGCAAGCGUUAUCCGGAUUCAUUGGGUUUAAAGGGCGCGUAGGUGGCCUUAUAAGUCAGUGGUGAAAUCUCGCAGCUUAACUGCGAAAUUGCCAUUGAUACUGUAGGGCUUGAGUAUAGUUGCCGUUGGCGGAAUAUGACAUGUAGUGGUGAAAUACAUAGAGAUGUCAUAGAACACCGAUUGCGAAGGCAGCUGACGAAACUAUAACUGACACUGAGGCUCGAAAGUGCGGGGAUCAAACAGG